AGAGUUUGAUCCUGGCUCAGGACGAACGCUGGCGGCGUGCUUAACACAUGCAAGUCGAACGGUGAACUCUCCUUCGGGAGGGGGAUCAGUGGCGAACGGGUGAGUAACACGUGACCAACCUGCCCCUUGCUCUGGGAUAACCCCGGGAAACCGGAGCUAAUACCGGAUACGAGACCAUGCGGCAUCACAUGGUCUGGAAAGUUCUUCGGCAAGGGAUGGGGUCGCGGCCUAUCAGCUUGUUGGUGGGGUAAUGGCCUACCAAGGCGACGACGGGUAGCCGGCCUGAGAGGGCGACCGGCCACACUGGGACUGAGACACGGCCCAGACUCCUACGGGAGGCAGCAGUGGGGAAUAUUGCGCAAUGGGCGAAAGCCUGACGCAGCGACGCCGCGUGAGGGAUGACGGCCUUCGGGUUGUAAACCUCUUUCAGCAGGGAAGAAGCGAAAGUGACGGUACCUGCAGAAGAAGCACCGGCUAACUACGUGCCAGCAGCCGCGGUAAUACGUAGGGUGCAAGCGUUGUCCGGAAUUAUUGGGCGUAAAGAGCUCGUAGGCGGUCUGUCGCGUCGGAUGUGAAAAUCCAGGGCUCAACCCUGGACCUGCAUUCGAUACGGGCAGACUAGAGUUCGGUAGGGGAGACUGGAAUUCCUGGUGUAGCGGUGAAAUGCGCAGAUAUCAGGAGGAACACCGGUGGCGAAGGCGGGUCUCUGGGCCGAAACUGACGCUGAGGAGCGAAAGCGUGGGGAGCGAACAGGAUUAGAUACCCUGGUAGUCCACGCCGUAAACGUUGGGCGCUAGGUGUGGGGAACCUUCCACGUUCUCCGUGCCGCAGCUAACGCAUUAAGCGCCCCGCCUGGGGAGUACGGCCGCAAGGCUAAAACUCAAAUGAAUUGACGG
This 896-nucleotide ribosomal RNA is filed under the name uncultured bacterium. RNAcentral describes it as "bacterial SSU rRNA". It matches the Rfam family "Bacterial small subunit ribosomal RNA", at positions 8 to 916 of the family's 1533-position model. The record is from RNAcentral.